GGGAAGAAAUGGGCUACAUUUUCUAGCAUAGAAUAUUACGAACAUGCACCAUGAAACAGUGCUUGAAGGAGGAUUUAGUAGUAAAAGGGAAAUAGAGUGUCCCUUUGAACCCGGCUCUGAGACGCGUACACACCGCCCGUCACUCUCCCCUGUCAAAAUGCACCAAAAAUAUCUAAUAUAAUAGCACUGACAAGGGGAGGCAAGUCGUAACACGGUAAGUGUACCGGAAGGUGCACUUGGAUCAAACCCAGGGUGUGGCUGAGUUAGUCAAGCAUCUCACUUACACCGAGAAGACAUCCAUGCAAGUUGGAUCGCCCUGAG
This 321-nucleotide ribosomal RNA is filed under the name Carassius auratus auratus (gold crucian carp). Its description in RNAcentral is "16S ribosomal RNA". The stretch from base 1 to 252 matches the Rfam family "Bacterial small subunit ribosomal RNA", at positions 1212 to 1533 of the family's 1533-position model. Lineage: Eukaryota; Metazoa; Chordata; Actinopteri; Cypriniformes; Cyprinidae. The record is from RNAcentral.